Molecule: ribosomal RNA, 569 nt
Filed under: Peromyscus leucopus (white-footed mouse)
Lineage: Eukaryota; Metazoa; Chordata; Mammalia; Rodentia; Cricetidae
Description: partial 16S ribosomal RNA
Rfam family: Bacterial large subunit ribosomal RNA (bases 22-138)
Source: RNAcentral
AAAAGAAUUACAGCUAGAAACCCCGAAACCAAACGAGCUACCUAAAAACAAUUUUAUGAAUCAACUCGUCUAUGUGGCAAAAUAGUGAGAAGAGUUUUAGGUAGAGGUCAAAAGCCUAAUGAGCUUGGUGAUAGCUGGUCACCCAAAAAAUGAAUUUAAGUUCAAUUUUAAACUUGCUAAAAAAACAACAUAAUCAAAAAGUAAGUUUAGAUUAUCAGCAAAAGAGGGACAGCUCUUCAGGAACUGAAAAAAGCUUUAAUAGUGAAUAACUAACAAAACAUCUUUUAAACAGUCUAGGCCUAAAAGCAGCCACCAAUAAAGAAAGCGGUCACGCAACUAUACAAUUUCAAUUAAUUCCGUAAUUUACACCAACUUCCUAAACUUAAAAUUGGGUUAGUCUAUAACUUUAUAGAUGCAACACUGUUAGUAUGAGUAACAAGAAUUCUAAUUCUCCAGAAAUACGCGUGUAACUACUCGGAUAACAAUUGUUAGUUAAUCAGACUAUAAGCAAUAAUCACACUAUAAAUAAUCCACCUAUAACUUCUCUGUUAACCCAACACCGGAAUGCC